This 371-nucleotide ribosomal RNA is filed under the name uncultured bacterium. RNAcentral describes it as "bacterial SSU rRNA". It matches the Rfam family "Bacterial small subunit ribosomal RNA", at positions 527 to 896 of the family's 1533-position model. The record is from RNAcentral.
GGGGGGUGCUAGCGUUAUUCGGAAUCAUUGGGCGUAAAGGGCGCGUAGGCGGUCUUUUAAGUCAGAUGUGAAAGCCCUCGGCUUAACCGAGGAAGUGCAUUUGAUACUAAGAGACUUGAGUAUGGGAGAGGGAAGCGGAAUUCCUGGUGUAGCGGUGAAAUGCGUAGAUAUCAGGAGGAACACCGGUGGCGAAGGCGGCUUCCUGGACCAAUACUGACGCUGAGGCGCGAAGGCGUGGGGAGCAAACAGGAUUAGAUACUCUGGUAGUCCACACCGUAAACGAUGGACACUAGGUAUAGGGAGUUUCGACCCUCUCUGUGCCGAAGCUAACGCUUUAAGUGUCCCGCCUGGGGACUACGGCCGCAAGGUUA